UACGUAGGGGGCAAGCGUUGUCCGGAUUUAUUGGGCGUAAAGAGCGUGUAGGCGGCCAUGUAGGUCCGUUGUGAAAACUCGAGGCUCAACCUCGAGACGCCGAUGGAAACCAUGUGGCUAGAGUCCGGAAGAGGAGAGUGGAAUUCCUGGUGUAGCGGUGAAAUGCGCAGAUAUCGGGAAGAACACCCGUGGCUAAGGCGGCUCUCUAGUACGGUACUGACGCUGAGACGCGAAAGCGUGGGGAGCGAACAGG
RNAcentral lists this ribosomal RNA (253 nucleotides) under uncultured bacterium. RNAcentral's name for it is "partial 16S ribosomal RNA". It matches the Rfam family "Bacterial small subunit ribosomal RNA", at positions 524 to 776 of the family's 1533-position model. The record is from RNAcentral.